This 470-nucleotide ribosomal RNA is filed under the name uncultured bacterium. RNAcentral describes it as "bacterial SSU rRNA". It matches the Rfam family "Bacterial small subunit ribosomal RNA", at positions 329 to 793 of the family's 1533-position model. The record is from RNAcentral.
CUACGCACUCCUACGGGAGGCAGCAGUGGGGAAUAUUGCACAAUGGGCGCAAGCCUGAUGCAGCCAUGCCGCGUGUAUGAAGAAGGCCUUCGGGUGUAAAGUACUUUCAGCAGUGAGGAAGGUGGGUAUGUUAAUAGCAUACUCAUUUGACGUUAGCUGCAGAAGAAGCACCGGCUAACUCCGUGCCAGCAGCCGCGGUAAUACGGAGGGUGCGAGCGUUAAUCGGAAUUACUGGGCGUAAAGCGCAUGCAGGUGGUUUGUUAAGUCAGAUGUGAAAGCCCGGGGCUCAACCUCGGAAUUGCAUUUGAAACUGGCAAACUAGAGUACUGUAGAGGGGGUAGAAUUUCAGGUGUAGCGGUGAAAUGCGUAGAGAUCUGAAGGAAUACCGGUGGCGAAGGCGGCCCCCUGGACAGAUACUGACACUCAGAUGCGAAAGCGUGGGGAGCAAACAGGAUUAGAUACCCUGGUAG